GACGAACGCUGGCGGCGUGCCUAAUACAUGCAAGUCGAGCGAGCUUGCCUAGAUGAUUUUAGUGCUUGCACUAAAUGAAACUAGAUACAAGCGAGCGGCGGACGGGUGAGUAACACGUGGGUAACCUGCCCAAGAGACUGGGAUAACACCUGGAAACAGAUGCUAAUACCGGAUAACAACACUAGACGCAUGUCUAGAGUUUGAAAGAUGGUUCUGCUAUCACUCUUGGAUGGACCUGCGGUGCAGUAGCUAGUUGGUAAGGUAACGGCUUACCAAGGCAAUGAUGCAUAGCCGAGUUGAGAGACUGAUCGGCCACAUUGGGACUGAGACACGGACCAG
RNAcentral lists this ribosomal RNA (339 nucleotides) under uncultured bacterium. RNAcentral's name for it is "bacterial SSU rRNA". It matches the Rfam family "Bacterial small subunit ribosomal RNA", at positions 28 to 334 of the family's 1533-position model. The record is from RNAcentral.